GAAGCUGCUUCAUGCUGAGGGACCAUAGAAGAAGAGAUGUUUUGGCCUCGUUGCUGAGGAAAUCGGCCCGAUAUCCCUACAUCUGAUUCUACCUUUUUAUGUCAAUGCAGUUCUGUAGUCCGAGGAUCAAGGAUCAACUCUCCCGAAAUAUGUCUUAAAUGUUGUGAUGCGGCAGGGUUAGAGUGUAGAGGCGGCAGGGUAGCCUAGUGGUUAGAGUGUAGAGGCGGCAGGGUAGCCUAGUGGUUAGAGUGUAGAGGCGGCAGGGUAGCCUAGUGGUUAGAGUGUAGAGGCGGCAGGGUAGCCUAGUGGUUAGAGUGUAGAGGCGGCAGGGUAGCCUAGUGGUUAGAGUGUAGAGGCGGCAGGUAGCCUAGUGGUUAGAGUGGAGAGGCGGCAGGGUAGCCUAGUGGUUAGAGUGUAGAGGCGGCAGGGUAGCCUAGUGGUUAGAGUGUAGAGGCGGCAGGGUAGCCUAGUGGUUAGAGUGUAGAGGCGGCAGGGUAGCCUAGUGGUUAGAGUGUAGAGGCGGCAGGGUAGCCUAGUGGUUAGAGUGGAGAGGCGGCAGGGUAGCCUAGUGGUUAGAGUGUAGGGGCGGCAGGGUAGCCUAGUGGUUAGAGUGUAGAGGCGGCAGGGUAGCCUAGUGGUUAGAGUGUAGAGGCGGCAGGGUAGCAGAGGGGUUAGAGUGUAGAGGAGGCAGGGUAGCCUAGUGGUUAGAGUGUAGAGGCGGCAGGUAGCCUAGUGGUUAGAGUGUAGGGGCGGCAGGGUAGCCUAGUGGUUAGAGUGUAGAGGAGGCAGGGUAGCCUAGUGGUUAGAGUGUAGAGGCGGCAGGUAGCCUAGUGGUUAGAGUGUAGGGGCGGCAGGGUAGCCUAGUGGUUAGAGUGUAGAGGCGGCAGGUAGCCUAGUGGUUAGAGUGUAGAGGAGGCAGGGUAGCCUAGUGGUUAGAGUGUAGAGGCGGCAGGUAGCCUAGUGGUUAGAGUGUAGGGGCGGCAGGGUAGCCUAGUGGUUAGAGUGUAGAGGCGGCAGGGUAGCCUAGUGGUUAGAGUGUAGGGGCGGCAGGGUAGCCUAGUGGUUAGAGUGUAGAGGCGGCAGGGUAGCCUAGUGGUUAGAGUGUAGAGGCGGCAGGUAGCCUAGUGGUUAGAGUGUAGAGGCGGCAGGGUAGCCUAGUGGUUAGGCAUUGUGUUUUCAUUUUAUAAAUAUCUAUUUAAGGAAUUCAUUCGGGUUCCACAGUGAGGACAGAACCGAGGUCCCUGUGCCGAACAGUUCGGUAUGAAUACAUGUUCCCGUUUACAACCCAACCAAAUACACAAUGUUAAUGCGAUGGUUACUGCAUUUAAAAAAUAUAUAUUUGUACCUUGUCAGCUCGGGGGUUUGAACUCACAACCUUCCGGUUACUAGUCCAACGCUCUAACCACUAGGCUACGCUGCCGCCCCCUAUAACAGCAGUUGAAAACAUUUAUAAAAAGCAAUCCUCUUUUUUUGAACUUUGAACUUCCUUUAUCGCCGUACUUUUAGUUUACGGUAGUCUGCGUUUCUCAAAGAGUUCAAAUCACAUGAAUGCUGGUAUUUACCACUUCAAAACGGGUAAAUUCCCACAUGGUUACGAACGCAGCAUCCGAGUGGAAACUUGACCCAACUUAACAAUCCUGUCACAACAGACAGGAAAUAAUUGUAAUUUUCCCGAUGUACCAAAGCCGAUCCGUGACCCCCAAAACGUCAAUACCAAUACCGAAUCAUGGGCUUGGUGAACCGUUACACCCUUAGUGU
Long non-coding RNA from Oncorhynchus keta (chum salmon), 1758 nucleotides. RefSeq lists it as uncharacterized. The transcript has 3 exons. Lineage: Eukaryota; Metazoa; Chordata; Actinopteri; Salmoniformes; Salmonidae. The record is from RefSeq and is a predicted model, not a curated record.